This 490-nucleotide ribosomal RNA is filed under the name uncultured bacterium. RNAcentral describes it as "partial 16S ribosomal RNA". It matches the Rfam family "Bacterial small subunit ribosomal RNA", at positions 30 to 507 of the family's 1533-position model. The record is from RNAcentral.
AUUGAACGCUGGCGGCAGGCUUAACACAUGCCAGUCGAGCGGUAGCACAGGGGAGCUUGCUCCCUGGGUGACGAGCGGCGGACGGGUGAGUAAUGUCUGGGAAACUGCCUGAUGGAGGGGGAUAACUACUGGAAACGGUAGCUAAUACCGCAUAACGUCGCAAGACCAAAGAGGGGGACCUUCGGGCCUCUUGCCAUCAGAUGUGCCCAGAUGGGAUUAGCUAGUAGGUGGGGUAAUGGCUCACCUAGGCGACGAUCCCUAGCUGGUCUGAGAGGAUGACCAGCCACACUGGAACUGAGACACGGUCCAGACUCCUACGGGAGGCAGCAGUGGGGAAUAUUGCACAAUGGGCGCAAGCCUGAUGCAGCCAUGCCGCGUGUGUGAAGAAGGCCUUCGGGUUGUAAAGCACUUUCAGCGAGGAGGAAGGUGGUGAGCUUAAUACGCUCAUCAAUUGACGUUACUCGCAGAAGAAGCACCGGCUAACUCCGUG